Molecule: transfer RNA, 77 nt
Filed under: Candidatus Dojkabacteria bacterium
Lineage: Bacteria
Also listed under: 2 other names
Description: tRNA-Pro
Source: RNAcentral
CGGGGUGUAGUUCAGAUGGCUAGAACGCUUGCAUGGGGUGCAAGAGGUCGCUCGUUCAAGUCGAGUCACCCCGACCA